UAGUGGAGAAAGAAAGAAAUAUUUUUGCCCAUCAACUUUGAUCCAAAAAUCAUAAAUUUCUAGUAUUCCUACUAAGCUCAAGACCCUCUUCAACGGGAUAUAAAUUUCGAGGCAAGAAAGUACUUUUUUUAUCAAGUGGAGAAAUUGGAAAAGAUCUUGGCGAAUUUGGGACUUGACUUUGGAGACGUAUAGGAGGCGGAAAAGGUACAGAGGUUCGUGAUCCGCCAGUGUAGGCCACAUAUUCUGCUAUCACAGAGUGCUCCUUUUGAUUCGGAGCCCAUAUGUUGGUACAUAUCUUCAUGAUGUAUAUGUCUCUGUAUAUUUGACUAUUUGGGGUACGGCGGGGCCCUGUCCCGUCAUAUGAUUUCGUUAUGAUUUGUAGAGGCCUGUAGUCAUAUAUGUGGGUCAUGGGUCAUGUGUGGGUUUGUUUGUGUAUGAUCUGCGUCUUAGCGCGGUUCAGGUUGCUAUUAUGGCCAAAACGGCCCAUUUGUCUGUAUACGUGUAUGUAUCUGGCGAUGUAUAUUCCGCCAACCUAUCAGAUUUGGAUACGGCCAGAAUGGCCUGUAUAUUGGUAUAUGUGCAUAUAUUCGGCGAUGUAUAUUCCGCCGCCCCUUUUUGGUUCUGAUAUGAUAUUUUGUACACGCAAUCGCGUAAGAUAAUAUUUGUUUUUAGCUCUGUUUAAAAUGAUGAAUAUGAAGUCUGA
Long non-coding RNA from Lycium barbarum (goji berry), 703 nucleotides. RefSeq lists it as uncharacterized. NCBI's taxonomy places the organism in Eukaryota, Viridiplantae, Streptophyta, Magnoliopsida, Solanales, Solanaceae. The transcript has 3 exons. The record is from RefSeq and is a predicted model, not a curated record.